Long non-coding RNA from Marmota monax (woodchuck), 1186 nucleotides. RefSeq lists it as uncharacterized. Lineage: Eukaryota; Metazoa; Chordata; Mammalia; Rodentia; Sciuridae. The record is from RefSeq and is a predicted model, not a curated record. The transcript has 6 exons.
UCACAGUUCCGGAGUGGAGGGAGGAAGUCCGAUCCCGCUGCCAGGUCCCCUCCCUCCAGGCCCCACCGAGAUCGCCAGGAGCGCCUGGGCAGCGCCGCGCUCCGGCCCUGGGCCGCCGCUCCUGGGAAAGAGCUCGGGUGGCGGAGCGGCCCCCACGACCUGGUUCGAAGUGGUGUGAAGGACCUAGGGGAAACGACGUCCUGCUGGCCAACCCAGAGCCGUUUGUCCUGGGAGGGACGGAAUGCAGGAGUGCAGGCCAGUACACCCAAUCCUAACCCUGAGCACGCCUGUGACAUGUCUCACCCCUGCCCGCAAUUCUGAAAUAGUUUUGGGAUCACGAGAAUUGAAGGACUUGUCCUGGCAUCCUCCCAAGCACAGGAAGAGGCAAGCACCCAGGAAAGGAGGAUGUGCCAAGUUUCCAACCUUUAUACAAGCUGAACAAGCAGUCUACCUACCACUGAGCUACAUCCCCAGCCCUUGUUAAAUUCUAUUUUGAGACGGGUCUCACUAAGCUGCCUAUGCUGGCCUUGAACUUGCCAUCCUUUCUGCUGCAGCCUCCUGAGUAGCUGGGAUUGCACUACCACAACUGUCUACCAUAAUUAUUCUUACAGGAGCUCCAGGCAGGCUGGGUGACUAGAAGGAACAUCAUCAUACAGAACCCACCCUACAGGGAAGGGGGGAAACCAGGGAAGAAGAUCCAUACAUUCUGGAGGCUGGAAGUACAAGGUCAAGGUACUGGCAGCCACCAUGAGGAGAGAAGCUUUGCUCCACCACGUGUUCCACUCCAGAAGAUUCUGACUCACCAUGGUCCAGAAACAAUGGAGUCAAAUAACCAGGGACUGAAACCUAUGAAACAGGGAGUCAAAAUAAACCUUCCCCCAUCUAAAAUUGUUCAUCUCAUGUAUUUUGUCAUAGUAAUGGAAAGCUGAGCACCACUGUAGCUCUUUGAAGUAAGAUUUGAAAUCAGAAUAUGAGUCUUCCAACUUUGUUCCUUCAAUUUUUUUUGUUUUUUGCUACUCUUGAGUUUCUUGCAUUUCCAUAGGAAUCCAAGAUUGUCUUACCAAUUUUUGUUAAAAAUAAAAUAAAAGCAAAAAGCAGCUGGUAUUUUUUCAGAAAUUACACUGAAUUUGUGAUCACUUUGGAUAGUAUUGCCAUCUUCAUGGCACUAAGUCUUCUAAUCCAUAAA